This 305-nucleotide ribosomal RNA is filed under the name uncultured bacterium. RNAcentral describes it as "bacterial SSU rRNA". It matches the Rfam family "Bacterial small subunit ribosomal RNA", at positions 331 to 634 of the family's 1533-position model. The record is from RNAcentral.
CGUGACCUACGGGGGGCAGCAGUGAGGAAUAUUGGUCAAUGGGCUUACGCCUGAACCAGCCAAGUCGCGUGAGGGAAGACUGCCCUAUGGGUUGUAAACCUCUUUUGUCAGGGAGCAACGCCGGCUACGUGUAGCCGGACUGAGAGUACCUGAAGAAAAAGCAUCGGCUAACUCCGUGCCAGCAGCCGCGGUAAUACGGAGGAUGCGAGCGUUAUCCGGAUUUAUUGGGUUUAAAGGGUGCGUAGGCGGAAUGCCAAGUCAGCGGUAAAAUCGCGGGGCUCAACCCCGGAACUGCUUUGGAAACU